GUAUUGUUUCUCUGAAAACUGGGAAGUAAACUUUAAUUCUAUCGUGGAUGCUGCCUGACCCGCUGAGUUCCUCCAAAAUGUUAUAUUUGACGCAGUCUGGAUGAAGUCAUGGUUUCUUUCAUCAGGUGUAUGCUGACAAGUAGUAUAUUACGUUUUAGUUGGAUUAUUUGGAACAAAGCUCAUGAUUUUAAAAUAAACUUCAUUUAUUUCUUCCCUUCUGUUAUAAAAUGCAUUUUGCACAAAAGCAUUUCCUGCUGAAUUACAACUUCCAGUAAAACUGCUGUGAAUAUUCACCACAACCUACAUUGUCUCAAUCAAACAAAUUAGAAUGACAAAAGAUAACAAGGCAAUAGUAAAAUGAUUUUUUUUUAAAAGGCUUCACUUGUGUGGAUCAGUAAUAAGCCACUGGAUCCUAGUUAGGAUCACAGUGAUUUGAUUAUUUCAAUGGUUUAAGCAAUUAGAUUAAUUGCUGUAACUGAGAAAAAGUUGUCGGGGGUUCUGUUAAUUGCCUGCAGUUUACACAAGUAAUAAAAUUGAUGGUUUUGCACAAUUAUGAAACCUAUUAAUUGUGAAUGGCAUAAUGAGUUCAUGAUAGG
Long non-coding RNA from Leucoraja erinaceus (little skate), 596 nucleotides. RefSeq lists it as uncharacterized. NCBI's taxonomy places the organism in Eukaryota, Metazoa, Chordata, Chondrichthyes, Rajiformes, Rajidae. The record is from RefSeq and is a predicted model, not a curated record. The transcript has 3 exons.